ACUUUACAAUGCGGGAAACCGUGAUAAGGGAACUCCGAGUGUCCGUAAAUGCGGACUGUCCGUAUGUUUAAAAAGCAUGCGAAGAAAGGGCCGGGCAAGACCGGUGCCAGCCGCCGCGGUAAUACCGGCGGCUCGAGUGGUGGCCACUAUUAUUGGGCUUAAAGCGUUCGUAGCUGGGUUAUUAAGUCUCUUGGGAAAUCUACCGGCUUAACCGAUAGGCGUCCAAGGGAUACUGGUAAUCUAGGGACCGGGAGAGGUGAGGGGUACUUCAAGGGUAGGAGUGAAAUCCUGUAAUCCUUGGGGGACCACCUGUGGCGAAGGCGCCUCACCAGAACGGCUCCGACAGUGAGGGACGAAAGCUGGGGGAGCAAACCGGAUUAGAUACCCGUGUAGUCC
Molecule: ribosomal RNA, 396 nt
Filed under: uncultured archaeon
Lineage: Archaea
Description: bacterial SSU rRNA
Rfam family: Archaeal small subunit ribosomal RNA
Source: RNAcentral